Molecule: long non-coding RNA, 247 nt
Organism: Engraulis encrasicolus (European anchovy)
Lineage: Eukaryota; Metazoa; Chordata; Actinopteri; Clupeiformes; Engraulidae
Exons: 3
Source: RefSeq, a predicted model, not a curated record
GUAGUAGUCUUGGUGGUGCAAGUGUUUUGUGUUUUAGGAGAAGAGAUCUAAAUCUCACAGCUCUAAGUCGACAUGUUCAAAUUCCUGCCCCUGUGUCUCCUGAUGGCCAGUACACUGGCCCAGGAUCUGCCGGAUCACUACUCAUUCUCGGUGCCCGUGGGCAGUGGCACAGGCACCGGCUUCGUCACCUCUGGAGAGGGACGCAUCACCGCACUCAGAGUCUGGGAGGUCAACAACAACCAGCUCG